Molecule: long non-coding RNA, 10909 nt
Filed under: Aquilegia coerulea
Lineage: Eukaryota; Viridiplantae; Streptophyta; Magnoliopsida; Ranunculales; Ranunculaceae
Description: long non-coding RNA (ACOE_LNC002278)
Source: RNAcentral
AGUGAUAUAGGUAAUAUUAAAACUAAAAUUCCACCGUCCUAUAAAAGGACAUUAAAACUCGAAAUCUAAUUUCCUUGGCCUUUGAAUAUAUAUCACCUCUCCAAAUCUAUAAUAAACAAAACAAUUCUGUUUCUCGGUUUGUGUCGAACUGUGCGGGGUAUUCCCGGAAAAGUUAGGGCAGGGGGAAGAGUUUCUCAAUUGCUUAGAACCACCACCGGUGCCACAAUCUCUCUCUAUCUCUUUCUCUCUUCGACGACCAGGUCUCUCCCUCUCUCUCUCUGAUAUGUACUGGUUAUUUUUUCAAAGUUCAAACCUUUGUAGUGAUGAACAGUGAUGUUUUAGGAUUUGAAUAGACAAAGCUGUAAUUGAGUUUUAGAAUUGAUGAAGUAGUUUUAAUCUUAAUAAGGGAACCAAUUGUUACUUCCCCAUUAACAGAAUCCCAGUAAAGCUCAAUUAAGCAAUCCCCUUUUAUAUUAAGAAAACAAGGUAUCAACAAAUUAAAUUAAAUCCAAUUUCACCAAAACCAAUCAGGUUGUUCUACACCAAAUUUGUUUUUUGAAUAAUUGGUUAUGGAGUCUUGUUUAUUUUACUACAAUAGAUGUAUCUUUGUUAGUACUUUACAAGCUAUUUAUUAAAUUUCAUGCUUCCUUAAUUGGUUAAUUACUAACAAGAUAUGUAAUUGCUUGAUGAUUUUUGAUUUCUUUUUAUAUUGCAAAAUUAAACCUUUUUGUGGUUUUGCUUGAUGAAAUCUUAUUAAAGUGUCGUUAAAGUAAUGGGGAAUUCCAACUUUUUGUCACACAUUAAUCUUUUGUUGAGACAACAAACUACUGCAUCUUGAGCCCUAUCCAGUUUUUCGGCCAAUUACCCCUUCGUACUACCCAAAAAUGAGAUUAUUACCGAAUCCUAGUUUGUUGCUCCAACCAUUACCAAACUAAUAUCUAUUUCAUUUAGUACCUUGCUAACAUAAACUUGUGUACAACGGUAAGCUGUUGUUAGUGUACACCACUAGACAAACUAGAAUGAACAUGAUCUCAGAACAUAAUUCUUCAUAUUUGAACCCAAAAUUUAGGUGAACAUAGGGUAUCCAUGAGAUGGUGUAUAUGUGAGUGGCUAACACUACCACCAAUGUGUGGUGGAGAAUAGCUCGAUAACUUCUCGACAUUUGUUCGAGUAUCCAACAGUUCGUAUGUGUCCUUCCUAUAGUUCAAGCCCUUCUAGAGACUUUGCUUUAUGAGACCAUUAGUUUAUACCAUGCAAAAGAACUCUUAAUUACUUUGCCUUACGUACACUGACUAGCAAGGGCCAUAAUCCAUGCUUAUAUUUCAUUUUUACAUUUUAUGCUCUUAAUUUUGUUUGAUCUUAUGCCCUCAAUUUUGUUUGAUUUUAUGUGCGAGUGUAAUUGUCAUGCACAUUAGUUGUGUUUUUUUUUCCAGUAAAUGGUUUUGUUUUCACCGUGACAUAUCAGAACUUAAAACCUUGUCUCCUAUUUUCCCCCCUGUUCUUAUGUGUUAGAGCAUGCAUUUUUCUUUGUUUUUUUUUUUUUUUUUUUUUUUUUGCAAAGGCAAACGGUUUAUAAUAUAUAUAUAUAUAUAUAAAUGAAAAAUAAAUAAUUACAUCAGUUUCAUAGGGUUCCAGUCUUCACUCUCUACUAGUAGAGAUUGCCUUUUACAAAAUCCUACGAUAGAUUACUUUGUCCCUAUCCUGGUCCAGUAGAUGAGCUAGUUUGUCAUCCAUGGGUUCAAUGAACCAGGUGCAUCUUUCAGGCCCUGUUAAUCCUGCUAAAUAGUUUGCUGGAUAGUUAGUUUCUCUGAAAACAUGUAUCAUUUUGCAGUCCACCAGCAGUCCACUUAGUUCCUGAAUCUCCUGUAUUAAUUUUCUUGUGUACCAAGGAUCUUUUGCUCUCCUAUGAACAAUAAAAAAAAAUAAGUGCUUGAUGUUUUCUCCUUGGCCCUGGCAUAAACAACAUUUUGAAUGAUCAAGUAUCACAAACAUUUUGAAUGCAUUUAACAAUAUAAGUUAUCUCCCAUUUUAUUUUAUUUUAUGGCUUUUUUUGUGCUGGUGGGGAAAUCCCUAAUUAUAGUACAGUCCAAUUACGCGACAAGAGCACAUUUGUGUUAAAUUAAUUUUCGCUGGAAUCCCAUUGUGGUAUGUUUUACCUAUUAGAUUUAUUAUUUAUUUGCAGGAGUUGUACGACGACAUUAUACAAUCUGAACCAAGUACUUCAGAACUCAUUUGGAUCCCAAAGAGUGCAACUGUGCAAUUUGAUUGGGUGAAGUGUUUUGAAUUUCAGUAGGUGAAGAUAUAAACUUGGUUCAGUAAUCAUUUUUAUAUAAUUACCUUAUCUAACUCAUCAUCUUUUUUAAAGUGCCCUCAUGAUAUUCAAAAGGGUGGAGGAAAAAAAAGUAGUAUCACCAACAUGCAUGUAUUUAUGUAUAUUGUUUCAAUAUUCUCAAGUAAAGAGUCUGGUUACUAAGAAGAAUUUCUCAAAGAAUGAUAUUGACGAGCUUUGGGUCGAAUUUAUUGAAUUUGUCGAAUAUUGUAUGGGGGAAUAUGCAAAAGAAUGAAUGGAGUGUUAGGCUUUAUAUAUAAGUAGUUAGUUGUUUUUUUUUUUUUUUUUUUUUUUUUUUUUCUGGUUAAAGUGGAUAUAUCGUAUAUUAUUGAUGAUGGGUUUUUAUUUUUGUUUGGAUUAUUUUUGUCAAUGCUUUGUAAAGAACGAGACCGACAUUUUGGAGUAUUUUCAAUGAAAUUAUUUUUUUGAGCAGGUUUUGUGUGUUUAAACAAGUUUUAUGUUUUAAGCAGGUUUUUUUGUUGAAUAUCAGGAUUUAUUUUUUUAUUUUUUAAAAAAAAACAAACAAUAUAUAUCACGGUCUCUGAGCAUCAGUGCUCUUACUAACAAAACUGUGAUAUAUUAGUCAAUUAUAUAUCACGGUUUUAUGAUAUAUAUCACUGUUUUAUGCUUCAUUUAUCACAGUUUAGAUAAUUGAGAUUGAUUUGAUUAAAAACUAGAUAUGAUAGUUACUAUUAGAACCGUGAUAUAUACUACUACUUAUAUAUCACGGUUUUGAAAGAUUAUAUAUCACGCCACUAUUUAGCACGGUUUUGAGGCUAGCUUGGAACCGUGAUAAAAAUGUUUUUAUCACACUUAAUAGCAGUGAUAUAUGUACUUUUCUGUAGUAGUAGUAAUAGUUAAGGUUUAGGUAGCUUUUUAUGAAUUGAAGAAAAGUUCUUCUUCUUCUUCUUCUUUGUAUUAAACUCAAUAUUCAAUAUAAAUUCCAUUAUCUUUUCCAUUAUGAUGUUUGUUAAUUUAUUUAUUUAUUCUUUGGUGUCAUCAUCAAGGAUGAGUAGCUAAAUCUCCUUAGGGGGAUGGUGGAAGCACUCUAGAUGAUGCGAAAGCACCAUGUUAGUUCUUAUUGUUCAUUGUGAUUCAAAGUUCUUAAUGUUUAUAUACUUUUAUUCGCGAUAUGAGGUAAGUAUGAUUAUUUGCAUGUUUUUGUUAUCCAUGUUGUUAAAAUAUUAUUGUUAGGGUUUAGGGAGACCUAGCUUUGGUGAUAGUAUUUAUAUUUAUUGUAGAUGUGUAGGAAAAUAGCUGAGAGGUGAUUAUUACAUAUUUGCAGUAUAUAUCUUUUAUUAUUGGAACCCUUUUGUAUUUAAAUUGAUAUUCGAGAGGUGACAGUUUAUUUAUGAAUUAAUAUGUUGAGUUAAUUAGAUUGAAUAGCUGAGAAAUGACGGUUUAAUUAAUAAGACAUUCAAUUGGAUGCAUAAGAUAAUCCCGUUUUAAUUGAGUGGAAUAGCUGAGAGGUGACUACUUGAUUAUUAUAGGUAUUAGUGAUUAGUUGGAAUAACCGAGAGGUGACUAAUUAAUUAUUAUAGAUUGAAUAUGAAGGAACUACAUGUUAUGUUUGCAUGAUUUAGUUUGUGGAUACCAACUUUCCCCCUAUGUCAUCAUGUAUCUUCUUUACAUCUCUACCAUAUUCUUAAGUUAGGGUUUACUAUUUAUUUUUGCCUGUAGGAAGUAGAAUCAAUCUCCAAUCUUAUUAUUGAUUCCCUUGGUGUUUCUUAACCAUUGUUUUCUAUUGUGUUUGAGCUAAGAUCUCCCCCUCUGAGGUGGGUACGACCCUUGCUUGUUACCUGUCUACUUUGAUUUCCAAUUUAUAUAGGCACAAAAAGAAACUUCAUUAUAAAUCUAUAUUUUGAUUAAUAGACGUAAAAAAUCUAUCAUCAUGUAUAUGUGAGCGGCUAACACUACCACCAAUGUGUGAUGGAGAAUAGCUCAGUAACUUUUCGACAUUUGUUCGAGUAUCCAACUGUUCAUAUGUGUCCUUCUUAUAGUUCAUGCCCUUCUAGAGACUUUGCUUUAGGAGACCAUUAGUUUAUAUUAUGCAAAAGAACUCUUAAUUACUUUGCCUUACACUGACUAGCGAGGGCCAUAAUCCAUGCUUAUAUUUCAUUUUUACAUUUUAUGCUCUUAAUUUUGUUUGAUCAUAUGCCCUCAAUUUUGUUUGAUUUUAUGUGCGAGUGUAAUUGUCAUGCACAUUAGUUGUGUUUUUUUUCUCGAGUAAAUGGGUUUGUUCACCAUGACAUAUAAAAACUUAAAAACUUGUCUCCUAUUUUUUUUUCCCUGUUCUUAUGUGUUAGAGCAUGCAUUUUUUUAUAUAUAUAUAUAAAUGAAAAAUAAAUAAUUACAUCAGUUUCACAGGGUUCCAGCCUUCACUCUCUACUAGUAGAGAUUGCCUUUUACAAAAUCCUACUAUAGAUUACUUUGUCCCUAUCCUGGUCCACUAGAUGAGCUAGUUUGUCAUCCAUGGGUUCAAUGAACCAGGUGCAUCCUUCAGGCCAUGUUAGUCCGGCUAAAUAGUUUGCUGCAUAGUUAGUUUCUCUGAAAACAUGUAUCAUUUUAUAGUCCAUCAGCAGUCCACUUAGUUCCUGAAUCUGAUGUAUUAUCUAUCUUGUGUACCAAGGACCUUUUGCUCUCUUAUGAACAAUAAAAAAAAAAGUGCUUGAUGUUUUCUCCUUGGCCCGGGCAUAAACAACAUUUUGAAUGCAUUUAACAAUUUAAGUUAUCUCCCAUUUUAUUUUAUUUUAUGGCUUUGUUUGUGCUAGUGGGGAAAUCCCAAAUUAUAGUACAGUAGAAUUAUGCGACAAGAGCACAUUUGUGUUAAAUUAAUUUUUGCUGGAAUCCCAGUGUGGUAUGUUUUACCUAUUAGAUUUAUUAUUUAUUUGUAGGAGCUGUACGACGACAUUAUACAAUCUAAACCAAGUACUUCAUAACUCAUUUGGAUCCUAAAGAGUGCAACUGUGCAAGUUGAUUGGGUGAAGUGUUCUGAAUUUCAGUAAGUGGAGAUAUAAACUUGGUUCAGUAAUCAUUUUUAUAUAAUUACCUUAUCUAACUCAUCUUUUUUUUAAAGUGCCCUCAUGCAAUUCAAAAGGGUGGAGGAAAAAAAGUAGUAUCACCAACAUGGCAUUCUGAUAAGGUAAUCUCCUUGUAGAUAAGCAUAAUUAAUCACUUCAAUUCCUUCAUAAUUUUGACUUAUAUAUAUAUUUUAAGAGUUGCCUCCAUAUAGGUCCCUCGACAACCAAACCUUAAGGAAUGUGGUUUUUAUUGUAUGAAGCUCAUGAGAGAAUUAAUGGGGGAUUCAUCUCAUCCAUGGAAAUGAGGGUAUGUCUUGUUUUAGAUAAGUAAUAUAUAUAUAUAUAUAUAUAUAUAUAUAUAUAUAUAUAUAUAUCUAAGUUAUAAGACACAAAGGGUACAUAAGUUGGGGAGACAGUUUUGACGAAAAGACAAUUUUGAGAUAUUUUGGACCGUCUGAUUUUAAAUCUGAUACAGAUUGACGUCAGAGAUUAGAUUUUUGACUUAAGUAGAUGGUCCAGGUAGUUUUAAUGGGCUUGGACUAAAUUCGGAUAAAAAAAGGGCCAGUUUCAACGUUGCAUUAUAACCAUCAAAGCCCUAAUCCAAAUUUCUUUCUAUCUUCCUGUUAUUCUUCUCUCACCAAACCUUAUUCUCUCUUCCGCUAUCUUUCUCUGUUUUUUUCUCGGUUAAUACUACUCUGGUAAGUAUAUCUUCAUUCACACAUGUUCAAUCAAUUUAAUGGUUUUAGAAAUUUCAAUAUUAUUUUAAUAUUUAGUAUUUACUGAAUUCAAUCAAUCUCCUAUCUACUCUUUCAUGAUGUUAAAGCUUAAUCUGAUAAAUUUCGUAAGAAAAUUGUAUAUUAUUAUCGAUCAAUUUGCUUUUCUUUCUUUAUAUCUCUCAAUUAAAUCUGGCCAAUGGUAAAGUUUUAAUUUUUUUUUCAUGGGUUGGCUUGUAGUUAUCGUUAGACCUCCAAUCGUUUUCAUCAUCUACUUCAUCAUGCAUUAUCUUCAUAUGGUUUAGUUGCUGCUACUGCCAAAAUCACUUAAGGGGGAUUUUGUUACAGCUUUGUUAAAGGUAUUGAUAAAACAAUAAACCCUAAUUAAAAAUUAUUUUGAAAGCAAUACGAAACCUAUUAGAUGAAAUACCAUAAACUCACAUCAGUGAUAAAACAAUACGAAACCUCCUUCUCUCCUUCUCUUCUCUUCUCAGCGAAGCUUCCUCCUCAAGCUGCUGCUGCUGCCUGCUGGCCAUUCUUCUCCUCCUCAUCAAGUUUAAGGUAACUCAAUUACUCUAAAAAUAAAGACUAAUUCUUCUUAACAUGCGUCUUCUUCUUUUAAUUAUUCUCUCUCUCUCUCUCUCUCUCUCUCUCUCUCUCUCUCUCUCUCUCUCUCUCUCUCUCUCUCUCUCUCUCUCUCUGCCCCUUUCUCUCAUAAUAUAAUCGUUCAAAAGGUAUGUCAAAUUUAGUCUCUCUAAAGGUUAUUUUCCUGAAAUUGUUAUCAAUUUUAGUCAUUUUAUUAUGGUUAUCCAAGUUUUUAUUUAAUUUUGAUUGCUGCUGUUAUUCCGAAAAUGAGUAAACUGUAGACAAUUUUAUCAAUUUUAGUUAUAAUACGAGUAAACUGUUACUUUUCUUUAUCUGUUGGCUGUUGCACUGGUUUUUUUUUUUUUUUUGGUGUGUUGCUUAACAGAUAAGGCUCUGUUUGGCAGUUUGUAUGUUAGUUAUGCUUAUGUUCCAUGAUGGUCGUGACUCUGCUCACGUUUUACGAGCCUUAUCUAUGCUUUUAGUGAUUAUUAUUUGCAAAAUAAUUUUUUUUUUUUUUUUGCCAUAUGAUUUUUCAUCAAAUUAGUAUUUAGAUUGAGUUAAAACCUACGCCUUUCAGUCAUUCUUGCUUUAGAAAAUUAAUAAAAUAAACCUGUGGCAUCACACAAAGAAAUCAAACCCGUCCGCUUCCCUCUCCCUUCCCUCUUAAUUAAUUUGUUCGUUUGCAUUUGAGUAACUAGGUUUUCUGAGACCAUUUACAUUAAUCCAAGUCAUUAAUAGGAAAUAGAAAAUGUUAAAAGACAAAUGAAAAAUUAUAGUAAAUUCAUUUUGUGGAUAUAUAACUUCCCAGAACCAUGUUACAAAAGUAGUUCAUAUAAUUGUUUAAACUUUUCGAUGCUUUUGUGAUAGAGGUAUGUCCAUUUAACACCCUUAGAUGUAAGAGGUAAUUAGAAAACUUAGGAAUGGGUUGCACUCUGGUAAAUAGGGACAGAUAGCCCAUUGAAAUAGGUAUAAUGGUGUUUAGACCAUCAACUUGGUUUCCUUGCAACAUCUAACACCAAUAAAUCUUGAGCUGCCUGUCCUGUUCACAGCCACCAUAAGAUACCACACAGCCAUACCAUUCUAAACAGUUAAGGCUAUUCNNNNNNNNNNNNNNNNNNNNNNNNNNNNNNNNNNNNNNNNNNNNNNNNNNNNNNNNNNNNNNNNNNNNNNNNNNNNNNNNNNNNNNNNNNNNNNNNNNNNNNNNNNNNNNNNNNNNNNNNNNNNNNNNNNNNNNNNNNUGUUUGGCUGGAAUAAAAUUUCAGGACAUCGGAACCUCUCAACCACAAUAUUGAUAUGGAAAUCUUCCUUUGUAGGAGGACGGAUGUGGGUAACAAUUUGGUAAGAACUUGAAUCCACCUUAGGAAUGAAAUUUGGAUCAAUGUUCUACCAUGCAACAUUCUGGCAGAAACAAAAUAAUGCAUAAACAGUGAGACAGGAGGACCUAAUAGAAUCAAAUACAAAUGGACACUAAAUUAAAUAGAAUGCCAAAACAUAACAGAUAAAAAUAAAAAUAAUGACCCGGAGUCGUGAUGUAAUAGGUGAACAAGUAGGUCUUCCUUCAAUAUUAUUUGGUCACAUUCCCUAUUUCGCUGUAAUAAUAUAGUCUAGAUUGUGUACACUAAAUUAAAAUGGACACUAAAUUAAAUAGAAUGCCAAAACAUAAAAGAUAAAAAUACAAAUAAUGACCUGGAGUCGUGAUGUAAUAGGUGAACAAGUAGGUCUUCCUUCAAUAUCAUCUGGUCACAUUCCCUAUCUCGCUGUAAUAAUAUAGUCCAGAUUGUGUACAGUUAUGCUUUUGGUAUUGAUACCUAUUUCAUUUAAUUAGUAUUAUUGUGGGUAUCAGUUAUUCUAUGUGUUCUUCUCAAUGCAUGUUCACCUAUUUGAGCGUUUGUGUUUGAUUAAUAGACUAUGAUUGAGUGGUUUGACAUAUAGACAACUUACUUUUUAUCUAAAUAUUAUCUAAAUAAAAUUGGUUACAGUCCAAUUUUUGUGUUAAAUUAUUAAUUGCUUUAUUGUGGUUUUUACAUACGGGGUCUGGUAGGAUUUGGUUUGUCGAUCACUUCUAACAGAAUUGUUCUUGAUGGAAGUCACCAAAGAUAAUAAUUUUGAUCAUAUGUGCUUGAUUGGGGUUGUUUGAUUUUACUCAUUGUUUUUUUUGUUUUUUUUUUUUUUUGUUGUUGGUGUUGUUGUGGAUACUUAGAUUUCACUUUUCCAAAUACAUGUUUAAUUUUUUCAAAUUGACAUUUAAUCUUUUAAUGAUUGUUGUUAAUUUUUUUCUAAUUGAUGGUAUAUCUUCCUCUCUGUCAAAGAUCACAUUGACAGAGAGAGCCUUAAGCUAAAACCUAAUCCUAAUUGACUGUAUUGGUGGUGCUUACACUAAAACCUGAGCUAGAGAAAGACCAUAAAAUAGAGGCAGUAAAAUUACACAAAUAAAAUCCCUUUCUUUUUCUUUUUCAUGCUUUAUUAGGGUUUUGCUUUAGCAAAUUUACUCUUAUAAAGGUGAAAGUGUAAUUUGUAUUAUGGUUUUUCUUUGUGGUAGGUUCAAAGAGAAUCAAUUUGCAAAUUCUUCAGAUUUAGGUAGUAAAUAGGGGUGUUAUUCGAGCCGAGCGAGCCGAGCUUUGAAUGCUCAUACUCAGCUCGUUUUAAUACGAGCCGAGCUCGAGCCGAGCCCAAUUUCUGAAUCGAGCCUGGUUUUAUGUUCAAGCUCGGCUCGCGAGCUAUUUAUCAAGCUCGAGCUCGUUAGGCUCGUUUAGCUCGAGCCCUCCAAGCUCGUUUAGCUCGAAUCAAGCUCGAACCCUCCACCUGAUCAGUGCUUGUGUCGCUGAUCAUCAACAGAUCGCUUUCCUUGGUCUCAGUUGCCGGUUGGUUGCCAUAGUUACGGACAUGACGAUGUCUAAGGAUGUAGGAAGAUUUUCUAACACCGCACUUAGUGUUUACUGAUCUCAUGACCAAGUUUGAGUUUUGAUGGCCAUCGUGAAAGUGGGGUUAUUGUAAUAGUGGUGAUCCACAAAGCAUCAUUAGAACGGGGGAUCUGAUUUUGGAUAUGCCUGGUUGUGUUAAGAAUUUUGAGAUGAUUGGAGAUGGAUUGAGAGAGAGUGUUUAUGUGAGUUUCCAUGGAGUGUAUGGGUAGAGAGACUAGAUUCAAGAUAAGUUGUGGAAAAUUUGGAUCUAUGGGUAUGAUAGAUUUUGAUGGUUCGAGAUCUAUGGAGAGUAAUUUGAUCCAAAGGUUUUGAUGAGGCAUGGUGGGUAUUACACUGGAGAGAAGAUUUGGUUUAUGAAUUUAGCAAGUUCAGGUAUGGUAAUUUGAAAUCGUGAUGGAUUAAUUGAACUAUGAUAGGAUUAUGUAUAUGGUAACUGAGACGACUUGUUAAAGCAAUUAGGGGGUUGUGUUGCCAGCAAUGAUUGUACUAUUUAUAGGGAUUUUUCCGGCUACUAAAUCUUGAUGAAGAUUUGAGAAGGUUAAAUCACUUGUAGGCCCCUGUUGUACUCUGCACUUAGCUCGAAAACAUAAGAAGAAGAAGGAUCAAUGAAUUGGAGAAGAAGAAGGAGACGGGCUUAUAUGUUAUGUUGAAUUGGAGAAGAAGGAGACGGGCUUAGAGUAGUAGAGAAGAAGAAGGAGACGGGCGGGCGGCGGCGGCUAGGUUUCCACUUUCCAGAACCAGAAGAAGGAGAAGCUGUUAUGUUGAAUAUAUACUGGGGUAGGAUAGGAAUAAGAUAUAUUAGUGGGGGUAGGCUGGUAAUUUAUAUUAUUGAACUCGAGCUAUUCGGCUCGGCUCGAAUAAAGCUCGGGCUCGGCUCGANNNNNNNNNNNNNNNNNNNNNNNNNNNNNNNNNNNNNNNNNNNNNNNNNNNNNNNNNNNNNNNNNNNNNNNNNNNNNNNNNNNNNNNNNNNNNNNNNNNNCGAGCCUUAAAUCUGUUCAGCUCGGCUCGUUUUACAAGAUGUGCGAGCCCGAGCCGAGCUUUAAUCGAGUCGAACACGAGCCGAGCUCGAGCUGCUCAGCUCACAUAACACCCCUAGUAGUAAACCCCAAGAACGACUUAACAUGGUAAUUUCAUUGAUUGAAAUAACAUAUAGUUUAAUUUGUUUAAAUUUGUUAAGUUUUUUUAUUGGUAUUGAUUUUCUAAGUAUGUUUGAUGGAAGAUGUCAGCUAAGGAUGAAUUGAGCGUAGGAGAUAGGAUAUUUCUUUUGAUCAUUGUACAAGCGAAACAACAGCAUGAGCGGUUUGAGAAACAAGAAUAUCACAAAGUCUAAAACUGCACAAG